This is a long non-coding RNA of Heterocephalus glaber (naked mole-rat), 977 nucleotides long. RefSeq lists it as uncharacterized. The record is from RefSeq and is a predicted model, not a curated record. NCBI's taxonomy places the organism in Eukaryota, Metazoa, Chordata, Mammalia, Rodentia, Bathyergidae.
UUCCCAACGCCCUCCUUUCGUGUUUCUACGUAGGCUACGUCAUCAGGUUUCCGACCCAGUAGGGCUUUGCGUUGGUUGAAAAUCAAAGCGCGCGUGCGCAGCGAGAGGUUUUUGAUCGUAGUCUAGGGUGGAUUUUCAGCGUUUCAGUGAGCUUCUGCUGCUUCUUCAGACCUUUCUGUCUUUAAGUCCAGACUCACAGGUCAAAUCCAGACAGGUUCAAUGCUGUGCUUUUUUCGUCCAGAAGGAAAGACUACUCUUGUUAUGGCCUUCCUCUCUCUCCACCUUCCAGGCAGAUAGAUAUUCAAGAGAGAGCUGGAAGGUCGCGAAGGGAUCGCUUCUAUGGGGACUGGCUAGAGGAGUUACGCUAGCUAGCUCUUUCUUCUGACAGUCUUGCCAGUGACCCAUGGGAAACUUCGCUUGCAUUAUGUCCUUUGAAACUCCUUCCUAAGCUCCUCCUUAAUUUCCAGGUUUUGAGUAGUUAACAUUAGGGCUAUGUUGUGAGCAUUUAAUAAGUAAGAUGAAUGAAAAAAGGAAAUCAACAAAUGAGCAGUGUUGGCAGGCGUUGUCUGCCUUCUUCUAAUGUGAAAACUAAGGCUUAGAUAUCUAAGAUAACCACCUAAAAUGCGUCGUAGAGACUGGAACCUAUGUUGUCAGCCACCAUGUCUUUCUCACUGUACUCAGUCCCAGAACCCUGGAGGUGCAGAGGCCACAGAUUUUACCUGACCCCUGUGAACUAGAUGCUUUUUGGAGGACUGGUUUUGAAUAAUUCAGUGGACAGUUAUCUGGUCCCUGCCAUGUGGCUCCUCUCUCCAUCUUCAAAGGGUCUGGAAUCUAGUCUCCAUAAUUCCAGUUCUAUAAAACCAUAACCACCAGACUGAAGAUUAUGCUUGACUUUGGAGAUCUAUGUUCUAGUGCUAUCUCAAGCUCCUAGGACCUCUCCCAAUUUUUAAAUUUUUAAUAAUAAUUUAUAUAUUUGU